GACGAACGCUGGCGGCGUGCUUAACACAUGCAAGUCGAACGGACAGGCCCUGCUUUUGUGGGGUGCUCGAUUGGCGAACGGGUGAGUAACACGUGAGUAACCUGCCCUUGACUUUGGGAUAACUUCAGGAAACUGGGGCUAAUAUCGCAUAUGAUCUCCUGCUGCAUGGUGGGGGUUGGAAAGUUUCGGCUGUUGGGGAUGUACUCGCGGCUUAUCAGCUUGUUGGUGGGGUAGUGGCUUACCAAGGCUUUGACGGGUAGCCGGCCUGAGAGGGUGACCGGCCACAUUGGGACUGAGGUAGGGAGCAGAAUGGAACGGGAGGCAGCAGUGGGGAAUAUUGCACAAUGGGCGGAAGCGUGAUACAACAGCGCCGGGUGCGGGAUGACGGCUUUCGGGUUGAAAACAGAUUUCGAAUGAGACAAAGAGUGAGUGACGGUAAUGGGUAAAAAAGCACCGGCUAACUACGUG
RNAcentral lists this ribosomal RNA (468 nucleotides) under uncultured bacterium. RNAcentral describes it as "partial 16S ribosomal RNA". It matches the Rfam family "Bacterial small subunit ribosomal RNA", at positions 28 to 507 of the family's 1533-position model. The record is from RNAcentral.